Molecule: ribosomal RNA, 253 nt
Filed under: uncultured bacterium
Lineage: Bacteria
Description: partial 16S ribosomal RNA
Rfam family: Bacterial small subunit ribosomal RNA
Source: RNAcentral
UACAGAGGUGGCAAGCGUUGUUCGGAAUUACUGGGCGUAAAGCGUGCGCAGGCGGUUUUGUAAGCCAGAUGUGAAAGCCCCGGGCUCAACCUGGGAAUGGCAUUUGGGACUGCAAGGCUUGAGUGCGGCAGAGGAGACUAGAAUUCCUGGUGUAGCAGUGAAAUGCGUAGAUAUCAGGAGGAAUACCGAUGGCGAAGGCAGGUCUCUGGGCUGACACUGACGCUCAUGCACGAAAGCGUGGGGAGCAAACAGG